GAUAAUUGGAAAAGUACAAGAAAGCAUGAGUUGAUGCCAAACAGUGGUUCCCAGAAAAGCUAGUGCAUUUGAGAGGCACUUUGAUGGUGUGUGACUUGGUUUAAGAAAUUGAAAGUCGACAUAAACCUUGCCUUAAUACUGCAGUCUGUGGAAGUCAUCGCCUUGAAGAAGGUGGGUUCUUAUUGUCCGUGCUGCGCUCAUUGCAAUUCAGACUGAAUGCCCCUACAUCAACAGUGGAUCUGACUUCGUCGCAUCGUGCACCCUUUUGAUAAAUACUGCUACUGCAAUGUGUUUGCACAAGGAACAAGCACGGGCUUUCUGAGGGGUGAGGGCUUGCAACACGCGAGGCUUGUGAGCUGUUAGACCAAACAUCUGGGACCUCCAGAAUGGCUGCAUUGAUGGAUCCAGCAGAAGUCACAAAGGCAAACUGGCAGCUGUAUCACUACCAG
This 449-nucleotide long non-coding RNA is filed under the name Gallus gallus (chicken). RNAcentral's name for it is "lncRNA (ENSGALG00010002986.1)". The record is from RNAcentral. Lineage: Eukaryota; Metazoa; Chordata; Aves; Galliformes; Phasianidae.